AUGGGUCUGUCUUGCCUUGACCGUGAAUUCUCUUGGGCCGAGAUCCUUGAUGCAAUCAACCACUCUCCGAACAACCGCAGCCCUGGUCCGGAUGGGUUCACAAAUGAGUUCUACAAGGCCUUCCACAACAUUCUCAAGGUUGACUUGCAGCGUUUCUUCUCAGAUCUGUACCAUAACCGGGUGGACCUGACUGGUAUCAACACGGCUUUCAUCUCACUUCUGCCGAAGAAGGAAACUCCCCUUGAUAUACGUGACUACCGACCAAUUUCCAUGGUCCAUAGUGUGCCCAAGCUUACGAGCAAGGUUCUCAUCCGUAGGCUGCAGUGUCACAUGCCUGAGUUGAUUCACUCGUUGCAGUCAGGUUUUGCUAAAGGGAGGUCUAUGGUGGAAAACUUUGCCAUGGCAGCUGAUAUGAUUCAGAGUGCUCACAAGCGACACUUUCCUAUGAUUGUUCUGAAGUUGGACUUCAGGAAAGCUUUCGAUAGUGUUAGUUGGGCAUGCCUUUUCAGCAUUCUGGAAGCUCGGGGUUUUCCUCGCAAAUGGAUUGGCUGGGUUUCUUCUCUCCUGCACACCUCCAGCUCUAGAGUCAUGGUUAAUGGUGAACUGGGUGACCCGAUCGUAUCCAAGAGGGGGUUCAGGCAAGGCGACUCUUUGUCUCCGUAUCUGUUCAUCUUGGUGGCUGCGUGUUGCAAAGGCUGUGCUGUGUUGCGUUUGAGGCCGGGAGGUUGA
This 729-nucleotide ribosomal RNA is filed under the name Triticum aestivum (bread wheat). RNAcentral describes it as "partial small subunit ribosomal RNA". The record is from RNAcentral. Lineage: Eukaryota; Viridiplantae; Streptophyta; Magnoliopsida; Poales; Poaceae.